This 250-nucleotide ribosomal RNA is filed under the name uncultured bacterium. Its description in RNAcentral is "partial 16S ribosomal RNA". It matches the Rfam family "Bacterial small subunit ribosomal RNA", at positions 524 to 771 of the family's 1533-position model. The record is from RNAcentral.
UACGUAGGGUGCAAGCAUUAUCCGGAGUGACUGGGCGUAAAGAGUUGCGUAGGUGGUUUUAUAAGCGAAUAGUGAAAGCUAGCGGCUCAACCGUAUAGAUUAUUGUUCGAACUGUAAAACUCGAGAAUGGUAGAGGUAACUGGAAUUUCUUGUGUAGGAGUGAAAUCCGUAGAUAUAAGAAGGAACACCAAUGGCGUAGGCAGGUUACUGGACCAUUUCUGACACUGAGGCACGAAAGCGUGGGGAGCGA